RNAcentral lists this ribosomal RNA (497 nucleotides) under uncultured bacterium. Its description in RNAcentral is "partial 16S ribosomal RNA". It matches the Rfam family "Bacterial small subunit ribosomal RNA", at positions 28 to 507 of the family's 1533-position model. The record is from RNAcentral.
GAUGAACGCUGGCGGCGUGCCUAAUACAUGCAAGUCGAGCGAACAGACGAGGAGCUUGCUCCUCUGACGUUAGCGGCGGACGGGUGAGUAACACGUGGAUAACCUACCUAUAAGACUGGGAUAACUUCGGGAAACCGGAGCUAAUACCGGAUAAUAUAUUGAACCGCAUGGUUCAAUAGUGAAAGACGGUUUUGCUGUCACUUAUAGAUGGAUCCGCGCCGCAUUAGCUAGUUGGUAAGGUAACGGCUUACCAAGGCAACGAUGCGUAGCCGACCUGAGAGGGUGAUCGGCCACACUGGAACUGAGACACGGUCCAGACUCCUACGGGAGGCAGCAGUAGGGAAUCUUACGCAAUGGGCGAAAGCCUGACGGAGCAACGCCGCGUGAGUGAUGAAGGUCUUCGGAUCGUAAAACUCUGUUAUUAGGGAAGUACAAAUGUGUAAGUAACUAUGCACGUCUUGACGGUACCUAAUCAGAAAGCCACGGCUAACUACGUG